This 92-nucleotide transfer RNA is filed under the name Holosporales bacterium. RNAcentral describes it as "tRNA-Ser". It matches the Rfam family "tRNA". From Rfam's summary of the family: Transfer RNA (tRNA) molecules are approximately 80 nucleotides in length. Their secondary structure includes four short double-helical elements and three loops (D, anti-codon, and T loops). Further hydrogen bonds mediate the characteristic L-shaped molecular structure. tRNAs have two regions of fundamental functional importance: the anti-codon, which is responsible for specific mRNA codon recognition, and the 3' end, to which the tRNAs corresponding amino acid is attached (by aminoacyl-tRNA synthetases). tRNAs cope with the degeneracy of the genetic code in two manners: having more than one tRNA (with a specific anti-codon) for a particular amino acid; and 'wobble' base-pairing, i.e. permitting non-standard base-pairing at the 3rd anti-codon position. The record is from RNAcentral. Lineage: Bacteria; Pseudomonadati; Pseudomonadota; Alphaproteobacteria; Holosporales.
GGAGGGGUGGCCGAGAGGCUGAAGGCGACGGUUUGCUAAACCGUUAUACGGCGCAAGCUGUAUCAAGGGUUCGAAUCCCUUUCCCUCCGCCA